RNAcentral lists this ribosomal RNA (473 nucleotides) under uncultured bacterium. RNAcentral's name for it is "bacterial SSU rRNA". It matches the Rfam family "Bacterial small subunit ribosomal RNA", at positions 24 to 518 of the family's 1533-position model. The record is from RNAcentral.
UCAGGACGAACGCUGCGGCACGCUAACACAUGCAAGUCGAACGAACGGAGAUAGCUUGCUAUCAAGUAGUGGCGGACGGGUGAGUAACACGUGAGCAAUCUGCCUUUAAGUGGGGAAUAACGAUUGGAAACGGUCGGUAAUACCGCAUAAUAUAGCGAAACCGCAUGAUUUUGCUAUCAAAGAUUUAUCGCUUAAAGAUGAGCUCGCGUCUGAUUAGCUAGUUGGUGAGGUAACGGCUCACCAAGGCGACGAUCAGUAGCCGGACUGAGAGGUUGAACGGCCACAUUGGGACUGAGACACGGCCCAGACUCCUACGGGAGGCAGCAGUGGGGAAUAUUGCACAAUGGGCGCAAGCCUGAUGCAGCGAUGCCGCGUGAGGGAAGAAGGUUUUCGGAUUGUAAACCUCUGUUGACAGGGACGAUAAUGACGGUACCUGUUCAGAAAGCUCCGGCUAACUACGUGCCAGCCGCCGC